This is a long non-coding RNA of Rhopalosiphum maidis (corn leaf aphid), 589 nucleotides long. RefSeq lists it as uncharacterized. The record is from RefSeq and is a predicted model, not a curated record. The transcript has 4 exons. NCBI's taxonomy places the organism in Eukaryota, Metazoa, Arthropoda, Insecta, Hemiptera, Aphididae.
UAUCAGAUCCAUGUAAUUGUUUAUAACAUUAACAUUUAUCUAAAAUCAUUUUCCACAAAUUAUGCUAACACUGGAAAAACUAGCCAUCAUUUUCACAAACCAAAUUUUAUAUCAAUGGUCAUCAACACGAUGUUCCAGUAAUUCUUUUAACUACUCCUACUUUUUCAUAGACUUAAGAAAAUUACACUUUGUUCAAUGCUUUUGCAACAUUAUUAAAUGCUAGUAUUUCUGCAAUUUUAAUUGUAUGUAUUGAGUACUAAACUUGAAAUACCAGACAUGUAUAUUGCUACGACCGCUACUGGACUAUAAACCAUAGAAAAAGUUUGUUUAGCAAACUCACGAUACACAUGGCAAUCUUAUUUAGCGAAGAUCUCUGGUUGUGCGGUAUUGUUAAGUGAACCACUAAUUCGAUUUCAAUUAUCCAAGUGUUUUCCAUAAGAAGAAUUAGUAAUAAUAAUCUACUAGUGAAAUUCAAAAGCGAGAUCGAAGGUUUAUGGUACAUUACUUGGUUCUCCAAUAUACCACGGUGUAUAAUAUGACAAUCUAUAACAUUGCCAAUAUUAUAUUUCAUUCAUCAGCAGUACUUGGC